This 211-nucleotide unclassified non-coding RNA is filed under the name soil metagenome. RNAcentral describes it as "partial contains 5.8S ribosomal RNA, internal transcribed spacer 2, and large subunit ribosomal RNA". The record is from RNAcentral.
AACCUAGCACACCUGCGGUGUGUACCUGCGGAAGGAUCAUUACCGAGUGUGGUCCCAUAUAAGGGGCGCCUCCCGUCCUUUGCAGGGCCUUUAGGGGCUUUUUGACUUUGCUUCGGCGGGCUUGCCCCGCCGGAACGCCCUCAAGAAAAUCUUUAUGAACCGUUUGUCUGAGUUGCUUGCGAAUAAAAACAAAACUUUCAACAACGGAUCU